AUACGAAGGGGGCAAGCGUUGUUCGGAAUAACUGGGCGUAAAGCGCACGUAGGCGGAUUGAGCAGUUAGAGGUGAAAUCCCAGGGCUCAACCCUGGAACUGCCUUUAAUACUGUCAGUCUAGAGAUCGAGAGAGGUGAGUGGAAUUCCGAGUGUAGAGGUGAAAUUCGUAGAUAUUCGGAGGAACACCAGUGGCGAAGGCGGCUCACUGGCUCGAUACUGACGCUGAGGUGCGAAAGCGUGGGGAGCAAACAGGAUUAGAAACCCCAGUAGUCC
RNAcentral lists this ribosomal RNA (274 nucleotides) under uncultured bacterium. RNAcentral describes it as "partial 16S ribosomal RNA". It matches the Rfam family "Bacterial small subunit ribosomal RNA", at positions 523 to 796 of the family's 1533-position model. The record is from RNAcentral.